UCCCAGGUGGCUCAGAUGGUAAAGAAUCUGCCUGCAAUGCAGGAGACCUGGGUUCAAUCCCCUGGGAA
RNAcentral lists this transfer RNA (68 nucleotides) under Bos taurus (domestic cattle). It matches the Rfam family "tRNA". Rfam says of the family: Transfer RNA (tRNA) molecules are approximately 80 nucleotides in length. Their secondary structure includes four short double-helical elements and three loops (D, anti-codon, and T loops). The record is from Rfam by way of RNAcentral. Lineage: Eukaryota; Metazoa; Chordata; Mammalia; Artiodactyla; Bovidae. RNAcentral also lists the same sequence under 5 other names.